GUUCCUGUAGUUAAAGAUCAGUUUAACGGUGGUUUUUCAGGCCACAGAUCCUGGAGAGAGGCCAGGCGGGAAUA
RNAcentral lists this transfer RNA (74 nucleotides) under Climacteris picumnus (brown treecreeper). Its description in RNAcentral is "tRNA-Glu". The record is from RNAcentral. Lineage: Eukaryota; Metazoa; Chordata; Aves; Passeriformes; Climacteridae.